AAAAAGGUUGUUGGUAUAUGACCCUCCAAAUCAUGGAGUAAAGUUGAGGUUAGGAAGAGAAAGGUCAGAGAGAGUUCUAACCCUGAUGAUGAUGUCGAAGACAAUGUCCCAAACAUCUCUCCUGCUAAAAGACAGACUGUUAAAAAGUCUCCAGGCAAAGUGGCAGUUGUGCACUUAGACAAUAUCUCUUUUCAUCUAGAAGAUGGAGCUG
Molecule: long non-coding RNA, 211 nt
Filed under: Lathyrus oleraceus (garden pea)
Lineage: Eukaryota; Viridiplantae; Streptophyta; Magnoliopsida; Fabales; Fabaceae
Description: Pisum sativum (pea) long non-coding RNA (PSAT_LNC006920)
Source: RNAcentral